UCCCCAAGUCUGUGACACAGCCAUUAUAGUUGAGAACAUUCAGGUCUUUGACUUUAAAUUGAGUGAUGAGGAGAUGGCAACCAUCCUCAGCUUCAACAGAAACUGGAGGGCCUGCAACAUGUUGCAAUGCUCUCGUUUGGAGGACUAUCCCUUUGAUGCAGAAUAUUGAGGUUGAAUCUCCUG
Chlorocebus sabaeus (green monkey) is the source of this 183-nucleotide non-coding RNA. NCBI's taxonomy places the organism in Eukaryota, Metazoa, Chordata, Mammalia, Primates, Cercopithecidae. The record is from RefSeq and is a predicted model, not a curated record.